GAACAAGGAGGUCGGGAUCGGCGGCGAAGAAGUUGAGGAAGGAGAGAUCCCGCAGGCCGGCGGCGGGCCGCCGGAGUUGCACCCACUGGAGCACCAGUGGACCUUCUGGUUCGACAACCCCUCCUCCCGCGCCCGCCAGUCCACCUGGGGCAGCGCCAUCCGCCCGAUCCACACCUUCGGCACCGUUGAGGAUUUCUGGGGACUUUAUAAUAACAUAAAUCGUCCAAGCAAGCUGUUGAUUGGAGCAGAUUUUCAUUGUUUCAAACAUGGCAUUGAGCCAAAAUGGGAGGACCCAAUCUGUGCCAA
RNAcentral lists this unclassified non-coding RNA (306 nucleotides) under Hevea brasiliensis (rubber tree). The record is from RNAcentral. Lineage: Eukaryota; Viridiplantae; Streptophyta; Magnoliopsida; Malpighiales; Euphorbiaceae.